Molecule: ribosomal RNA, 440 nt
Filed under: uncultured bacterium
Lineage: Bacteria
Description: bacterial SSU rRNA
Rfam family: Bacterial small subunit ribosomal RNA
Source: RNAcentral
AGCGAACGCUGGCGGCAUGCUUAACACAUGCAAGUCGCACGGGCGGGGGCAACUCCGUCAGUGGCGGACGGGUGAGUAACGCGUAGGAAUCUAUCCUUGAAUGGGGGACAACCGUGGGAAACUACGGCUAAUACCGCAUGAUGACUGAGGUCUAAAGGCGCAAGUCGCCUGAGGAGGAGCCUGCGUCCGAUUAGCUAGUUGGUGGGGUAAAAGCCUACCCAAGGCUCCGAUCGGUAGCUGGUCUGAGAGGAUGAUCAGCCACACUGGGACUGAGACACGGCCCAAACUCCUACGGGAGGCAGCAGUGGGGAAUAUUGGACAAUGGGCGCAAGCCUGAUCCAGCAAUGCCGCGUGGGUGAAGAAGGUCUUCGGAUUGUAAAGCCCUUUUGGCGGGGACGAUGAUGACGGUACCCGCAGAAUAAGCUCCGGCUAACUUCGUG